RNAcentral lists this long non-coding RNA (1038 nucleotides) under Canis lupus familiaris (dog). RNAcentral describes it as "lncRNA (ENSCAFG00000030520.3, ENSCAFG00805013195.1)". The record is from RNAcentral. Lineage: Eukaryota; Metazoa; Chordata; Mammalia; Carnivora; Canidae.
CAGGGCGGCCAGCACGCGCGCCCAGGAGCUCAGGCCCGAGAGCAAGCCCACCCACGGACCCCGUCGCCCUGGACAAGCCGCCUCCCUUCUCAGGCCCAGGCUCCUCUGUCAACCAGGCAGCCGCAGCCCGGCCCUCCUCGCACACCGGCCCUGCGCUCCACCGGCAGAUGCCCCAGGGCACAACGCAGCCGGCUCCGCACACACUCCUGGGCGCUUAGAGACCCGUCUGCAGGCUGGACAGGGCGACGGCGCAGCAAGCGGGGGACGGGGCAAGGGGAGGCGGGAGCCCCUUGCGCCCCCGGGAAGCCGGGACCCCACGAGUCCCGCGUCCCGGGGGAGCGCCCAUCCCUCCCCGCCCGCGCGCACUCUGGCCGCCCGGAAGAUCCACAACCGCCAGGAGGCCCGCGAGCGCACGACCUACCCCGUCGGGACCCGCCGAGCUGCCCCAAGGCUCGCGAGGGAUCCGGGGCGGGGGCUGCUCCUCCUGCGCCUCCCGGGGCCGCCGUUCCCGGGGCGCCGGCUCUGGAACUAGCGCGCAAACUCACUUCGGGCCGACCACCCUCCGGGGCCCCAAACGGCCGCCUGACGCCUCGCCGUCCUGCGGCCGCAAACCGGCCGGACCCGGGCCCCGCCGCCGCCGCCGCCGCCGCCGCCACUCGACCGCCCGGCUCCUCCGGCCCAGGCCCGCGGGCUCCGGGGCUCGCGCUGGGGGGAUCCCGCUCGCGCCUCCGCCCGGCCCGCGCGGACCCGCGCCCGCUGGGUGCCGGCCCGGCCGGACGGCGGACAGCCCCGCGGGUACCGGGGAAUCCUCGGCCGCCGGAGGCCGAAGCCUGGGAACCGCGGCGAGCGGUGACCUGCGCACGCACAGGAAGCGAGAGCAGCGCGGCCGCACUGCGCCUGCGCCAACACGCACACAGGCCGAGCUGCACAUGCGCACCACGGCGCCGGCGUGCGGCCCGGGUCCUGCGGGAGCCCCCUGGGGGAGCGGCACAAACACCCGGACUCUGUUUCCCGGGAGUCCAAGCGCCCACACGCUAG